CUUGACCGAGCCCAGUCGCAGCGGCCGGUCCUCCGGCCGGUUCUGCCCGUACGUGGCGAUCAGCGCCUGCGCCUC
Molecule: antisense RNA, 75 nt
Filed under: Streptomyces leeuwenhoekii
Lineage: Bacteria; Bacillati; Actinomycetota; Actinomycetes; Kitasatosporales; Streptomycetaceae
Description: ASpks sRNA
Rfam family: ASpks TB sRNA
Source: RNAcentral